AGGAGCUUAUAGAAGAACAUUUAAUUUCACAUGAAGAGGUAGUGCUUGAUCAAUACAAUGAUCAGACUACUACUAUUAUUCCUCUUUCCCCCACAUGGCUCCUCGAGACGCCGGGUUACAAUGAACAGGGUCCCGGAGAGUACAUACACCAGGAGCUACCGACAGCCCUGGUUGUCCCUGAGGACUUUUUAAAUAAUCUCUCAGUGACUGCCGAAACGCCUAAAAUUUUAGAAUCUGACUACGUUGAAGAUUCCUCGCAACUGGAAGAAUACUUCAUUACAUCUUUCAGUGACCUACCGUCAGACUCAG
Long non-coding RNA from Acipenser ruthenus (sterlet), 309 nucleotides. RefSeq lists it as uncharacterized. The record is from RefSeq and is a predicted model, not a curated record. The transcript has 3 exons. Lineage: Eukaryota; Metazoa; Chordata; Actinopteri; Acipenseriformes; Acipenseridae.